GCUUGUACUUACCAAUACUAAACAURUGAAGUUAGAUGCAAUAGUUUCAGCUGUGUUUUAUGAUGCAAGGAUAAGCUUUUAAUACCUCUGAAGAUAUAACAGAUAGGUAAGAGGAAAAUAGUAUCAUUUUUGAACCUGAAAAUUCUGGGAAGAUGUGAAGAAAGCAGUAGAUGACAGUGCAGUAGUUAGAGACAUGUCUACAGAUGUUUUUUUUCAUCCACUACUGGUAUAAUUUCYGAAUUUGAGAUAUUUCACUGACUGUAUCUCAAAAGAAAAUUUAAGUGCUCUCUGUCAAGGCAGAAGCAACACCUGGGGAGAUUAUAAAAAAGGAUGUUUAAGUAUGGCURGAUAACAUCAGGAUCAAAGCAGCAGAUAAAUGGACAAAAGGAUGAGCCAGAAAACUGAGAACAAAAAGGGUUAAGAUUUAAUUCUUAAUGAUUUUUUCCACAGGAAACACUCCCUGGAAUAGACCRUGGGUAAUCCAUAUGAAUAGAGAUGGAAUGGUUAAACAGAUGUUACAUUCAGAAUAUUGCYUCAUUCGGAUACACAGAACAAAAGGCCACGUUCAGAGUCCUGGAGGGAGUUUUUGGGAGCACUGGGACACAAUUCUCCAAACCAGGUCUAAGGAGCAUUUGUCAAGYAGGCAGCUCAACUCUCCCUCUUGCUGAUGGCAAGGAUUUUCUGCAGGUUCUGCUUUCCGGAUGUGCACGGUGACUGAUACUGAACCUUCACCCCAUCGCUACCUUGACUGACAGCAGUGGAGAAAAAGAUCUGUACAACUAAAUAAAAUACGUGAAAAGAAAUGCACCCAAGUCUGGGUGCUUGAGAAGGGGAAGAAACAGCAGAACAUUCCAGAUUUAUGAGAGGCUGUUAAGGGUUUUGCACAGGAUGCUAAAAGAGGAAGAGACUGAGAGCUGUGUUAAUGAAAAUACUGAAUCAAGUCUCCAGUGCUAAUGGAUACAAACUUAUUCUCACACAUACAGCCCUUCUUCAUGCUUAUUUAUUUGGAUAUACUUUCAUGACAGACAACUAAUACCUGUGAGCAAGAUAASGAUAGCUUUAAUUUGUCAAACUCUUCUUGGUUAGAGAAUUCUUACUCAUAGCCUCAAUUUCUCAUUGUUUUGAAAAAGACUUAKUUACAACUCAAAACCAACCCUAUGCUUUCGAGGCUUUUCAUUCAGUCCCUAUUUGAGUGCUGGAGAUGAAAUCUGCUAGACAAAAGGAGAGGUUUUGUUYUCUGGAUGGAGACUAACAAACCCCAUAUUUAUCUGAGCACUCAUGUUUGCCAGAGAGAUUAAAGUAAAUGUAUGGAAAAUAAUUAAGUAUUUUCUUUAGCACAGUAAUAAUAACAGAAUUCAGAUCCCCUCCUUUUCUCUGUGUAAGAYAAAAAGUAUUUCCAUAUACUUUAUUUAACGUGCUUUAUGUUAAAAUACUGGUAAAUUCUGUACCUAUUUUUUAUGCCUGUUUUCAAAAUCUGAARCUGCUACAAGCCAAAGGCUGAAUUGAGAAUUCUGAACAGUGUGUAUAAUUUCCUUCCUCACACAAAUGUUUCAUUACAGCAUAUGAGAWUUUAUAAAGAAAAUUAUCUGUUUGUGUAUUAAUUUGAUUUUGAUUUCUAGUAGACCGCUACAGACUGAUGGAGCCUGGGUGAAAUAUCAUAAUUACACAAAUAAUACAUAUUAUUUCACAAUGACUCUAUUCUAAACUUGCACAGUUGAGCUGAUGGAAAAAAAUAAAUACAACCACAUCAGAUAAUUUGAAGAUAAAUGUAUUCACAGACUGUUUUUUUAUUUCUAGUGAAGUCUUCACAUAAAUAGAGAUUUACGAUAAUUGUUGGCGUGCUUGACCARUGUUAAAAUUAACAGAUGUUUAUUAUACCAAAAAAGAGCAUUUCAAGCAAAUAAUUCCACUCAAAAUAUUAAGCACAUUUUCCAGUUUAUGCUGUUGGAGGUUAUGGUGGCAUGUUUGAUUAAUGGGCUGUUUUAUUGGUGAUGCAAAAAAUGUGUGAUAUCAUAUGACCCAUAYGCUGUAGAUAGAAAGGUAUUAAACUAACCUUGGCACUUAGUAAAAAAUCUGAAAUAUCCCUCUAGUAAAAUAUAUCAUUUUAGAGGAAAAAGACAUGUUGGCAUUGCUUGUAUUUAUGCUUUUGAUAAAUUACAUGUCAUAUUUACUUAGUUUCAGUAUAAACAUUUAUUCUCUUUGAGACUUGUGCUUCUCUCUAGUUGUCAGGUUCCUCUGACAAGUGGUGUGAGUGAAACACAACCGUAUGUCACCGGUCACUUAUGAACACAGGAUGGGGAGGAAGAUGAUGACAUCUAACUUUUCAUGAAAUWAUCUCAAUAUUUAUUGCUGUUUAUUCAGAUUGGUAUAAGCUAUAAUGAGAAGGAAGGCAUGUGCAUG
Malurus melanocephalus (red-backed fairy wren) is the source of this 2400-nucleotide long non-coding RNA. RefSeq lists it as uncharacterized. NCBI's taxonomy places the organism in Eukaryota, Metazoa, Chordata, Aves, Passeriformes, Maluridae. The transcript has 3 exons. The record is from RefSeq and is a predicted model, not a curated record.